UGCAUGAGUGGCGGACGGGUGAGUAACGCGUGGGCAACCUGGCCUGUACAGGGGGAUAACACUUAGAAAUAGGUGCUAAUACCGCAUAACGGGGGAAGCCGCAUGGCUUUUCCCUGAAAACUCCGGUGGUACAGGAUGGGCCCGCGUCUGAUUAGCCAGUUGGCGGGGUAACGGCCUACCAAAGCGACGAUCAGUAGCCGGCCUGAGAGGGCGGACGGCCACACUGGGACUGAGACACGGCCCAGACUCCUACGGGAGGCAGCAG
RNAcentral lists this ribosomal RNA (265 nucleotides) under uncultured bacterium. Its description in RNAcentral is "partial 16S ribosomal RNA". It matches the Rfam family "Bacterial small subunit ribosomal RNA", at positions 88 to 354 of the family's 1533-position model. The record is from RNAcentral.